GAAGGUAUGGCUCAGGUGGUAGAGCACUGGCCUAGCAAAUGUGAGGUCCUGAGUUCAAACCUCAGCACCACCA
Molecule: transfer RNA, 73 nt
Filed under: Dipodomys ordii (Ord's kangaroo rat)
Lineage: Eukaryota; Metazoa; Chordata; Mammalia; Rodentia; Heteromyidae
Rfam family: tRNA
About the family: Transfer RNA (tRNA) molecules are approximately 80 nucleotides in length. Their secondary structure includes four short double-helical elements and three loops (D, anti-codon, and T loops).
Source: Rfam by way of RNAcentral